This 73-nucleotide transfer RNA is filed under the name Stegodyphus mimosarum. It matches the Rfam family "tRNA". From Rfam's summary of the family: Transfer RNA (tRNA) molecules are approximately 80 nucleotides in length. Their secondary structure includes four short double-helical elements and three loops (D, anti-codon, and T loops). The record is from Rfam by way of RNAcentral. Lineage: Eukaryota; Metazoa; Arthropoda; Arachnida; Araneae; Eresidae.
GUCUUCGUGGUGUAGUGGUCAGCACGCUCGACGCGUAUUCGAGAGGUCCGUGGUUCAAGUCCCGGCGAGGACG